GCGCCACUAGCUCAGCAGGAUAGAGCAACCGCCUUCUAAGCGGUAGGUCAUAGGUUCGAAUCCUAUGUGGCGUA
Molecule: transfer RNA, 74 nt
Filed under: Oscillospiraceae bacterium
Lineage: Bacteria; Bacillati; Bacillota; Clostridia; Eubacteriales; Oscillospiraceae
Description: tRNA-Arg
Rfam family: tRNA
About the family: Transfer RNA (tRNA) molecules are approximately 80 nucleotides in length.
Source: RNAcentral